AACGAACGCUGGCGGCAUGCCUAACACAUGCAAGUCGAACGAGACCUUCGGGUCUAGUGGCGCACGGGUGCGUAACGCGUGGGAACCUGCCCUUAGGUUCGGAAUAACUCCCCGAAAGGGGUGCUAAUACCGGAUAAUGUCUUCGGACCAAAGAUUUAUCGCCUUUGGAUGGGCCCGCGUUGGAUUAGCUAGUUGGUAGGGUAAAAGCCUACCAAGGCGACGAUCCAUAGCUGGUCUGAGAGGAUGAUCAGCCACACUGGGACUGAGACACGGCCCAGACUCCUACGGGAGGCAGCAGUGGGGAAUAUUGGACAAUAGGCGAAAGCCUGAUCCAGCAAUGCCGCGUGAGUGAUGAAGGCCUUAGGGUUGUAAAGCUCUUUUACCCGGGAUGAUAAUGACGGUACCGGGAGAAUAAGCUCCGGCUAACUCCGUG
RNAcentral lists this ribosomal RNA (433 nucleotides) under uncultured bacterium. RNAcentral describes it as "partial 16S ribosomal RNA". It matches the Rfam family "Bacterial small subunit ribosomal RNA", at positions 29 to 507 of the family's 1533-position model. The record is from RNAcentral.